Molecule: long non-coding RNA, 1036 nt
Filed under: Malus domestica (apple)
Lineage: Eukaryota; Viridiplantae; Streptophyta; Magnoliopsida; Rosales; Rosaceae
Description: long non-coding RNA (MDOM_LNC010001)
Source: RNAcentral
AGAAGUCGAAGGAGGAUCUGAAGGAAGUGACCCACAAGGUUUACUUUGAUGUCGAGAUAUCUGGAAAGCCUGCUGGUAUGCUGUUUAAUUUGCAUUAAUUUUGUUAAUCCUUAGAACAAAUUCGACCCAUUUGCUCAAAAUUCAAUUGGAUUAAGGGACUUUAAUCCCAGAUUUGAUAUUGAUUUCCGGUUAAUAUGAUAUAUGAGCUCAAUUGGGAGCUGAACGCCGAUAGGUGAUCAUUUGUGUAGAGGUGGAUGUGUUUCUGUGGAGUUGGAGAAAUGUUUAUGUGCAUAGAGUUUUGCAAAUGAAAAUUUGGGUGCCCUAGUUUGAUGAAUUAUUGGGAUUUUUUUUGGUGGUGGUGCUUUUUGUUUCUGGCUAAUCGGUAUUGAUACUUGUUUCGAUCACUGUGUUUCAGGACGGGUUGUGAUCGGUCUCUUUGGGAAGGCGGUUCCCAAGACUGCAGGUAUUGAAUAAUAUUACUAUCAUUUUGUGGGUUCUAUGUGUUAAACUAAGUCUAACAAUUUCAGAACAUUACUAAUUCAUUCCUUUGGUGUUUCAGAGAAUUUUCGAGCUCUUUGCACAGGUAACCAGUUACUCAUCUUCGUUUCCUCGUAUUAAGUUUAGCAGUUGAUAUGUAGUGUCUACUUUUUGGGGUUUAUCAUCAGCAAUGUAUAUGAAAUGGUCCUUGCUCGAGGCCUUCAAGUUCAGUAACAACUCAAUAAUUAAAAUGGAAGGAUGCAAAUAUUUAGUUGCUACGUACAAAUUUUCUGCAUACUGCAUUAGAACACAUUGAUUAGAAAGUUGUAAGAGUCGACAAUGUUUAUAAAGUUUUGAGCUUUUUUGCCCAAAUAUUUCAGGGGAGAACGGCGUUGGAAAGAGUGGAAAACCUCUCCAUUUCAAGGGUAGCAAAUUCCACAGGAUUAUACCCAGUUUCAUGAUCCAAGGAGGUGAUUUCACACUAGGUGAUGGAAGAGGUGGAGAAUCAAUUUACGGAGAGAAGUUUGCUGAUGAGAAUUUCAAGCUAAAGCAUACCGGU